This 264-nucleotide long non-coding RNA is filed under the name Elaeis guineensis (African oil palm). RNAcentral describes it as "long non-coding RNA (EGUI_LNC008445)". The record is from RNAcentral. Lineage: Eukaryota; Viridiplantae; Streptophyta; Magnoliopsida; Arecales; Arecaceae.
AGACAAUCUAAUCUAGCAAUAUCAAGUAAAUUUGACAAAGCAAACUUUGUUUUUCAUCAUCCAAGUUCGAAUAAAAGUUGACUGACUGACUGAGUAACGAUCUAAUUAUUUGGAAAAUGCUAAACAUCACCCACCAGAUCAUUACUCAAUUCAGCAGUCUGAUGUGGAAGUCAGUGAUUGUUGAGCCAUAGGAAGGACCCAACUGACACCACUGACCUUCCCAUAAUGCACCAGUCUCUGAAUACCAGGUUAGUCCAGUCACGG